UGAGCAACCUGCCCUUAGCUCUGGGAUAACCCCGGGAAACCGGGGCUAAUACCGGAUAUGAGUCCGAGCGGCAUCACGCGGACUGGAAAGUUUUUCGGCUAAGGAUGGGCUCGCGGCCUAUCAGCUUGUUGGUGGGGUCAUGGCUCACCAAGGUGACGACGGGUAGCUGGUCUGAGAGGACGACCAGCCACACUGGAACUGAGAUACGGUCCAGACCUCCGUACGGGAGCA
This 231-nucleotide ribosomal RNA is filed under the name uncultured bacterium. Its description in RNAcentral is "partial 16S ribosomal RNA". It matches the Rfam family "Bacterial small subunit ribosomal RNA", at positions 118 to 347 of the family's 1533-position model. The record is from RNAcentral.